CACAAGUGCUGUUGAGCACUUCUAGCACUGUGUAUUAGGUCAUCCUGAGGCGCUGGAAUAACAAGGGCUAGGAUCUUAGUGGCUUCAGUCACUCAGCUAUUUCGGAGCAUCUCUGAGGAUAAGAAUGAGAAGUGGAAAGCAUGAGCCUGUAGAAGAAACCAUUGAGGAUGGAAUGGUCCAGCGCACAGACAUGGGAUGUUUCUUUAAACACCAAUUUAAAAGAUUCCCUAUUCAUCGGGACCAGGCAGGGUCCAAGAAAAUGUGGCCUCGCUUGGGGCAGGAAGAACCUUUCCCCUAAAUGUCCAAGCCCUGGGGGAUGGAGCAUUGAUCUGGGAGUCGAGUCUCCAACGCUGUGGCUCACCAACUGCGACCAGAACUGGAGAUACCACAUUCCAUGGGGGGAGGGGAGCUUUCUCAGCAUCCACCCUGCGCAGAAAUCCACCCCGUGCAGUUCAAGGAGGUCUAAUUUGAGACUGACAGGCUGAGUGAGCCAAAGAAAACCAAGGCGUCUGAGCUGGGAAAUCCCAGUGUGAGUGCAGAGCUUCAGCCAUCAGGAGAUUCCUCACCUCCUCGCCGUGAGGACAGGGAGCUGUGGCGAUUGCUGCGUGGGACUCUCUGGGGCAGGUCAGAGGCUGCAGAAGGGCGCCAGCAGUCACGGCUCUGAGCCACCCCAGGGAGCGGGCUCUCCAGGGCCCAGGGCUGAGUCUGGGUGGUGUGGAGGAUGGUCUGCAAAACUGAACAAUAGCCCUUUGAGAAAUGUGUUUUCCAAAGAAAGACUUAAGUUCAACACAUUCAUUUUCUUGCUGCUAAAACCUAACUUUACAAAAUAAC
RNAcentral lists this long non-coding RNA (831 nucleotides) under Capra hircus (goat). Its description in RNAcentral is "lncRNA (ENSCHIG00000004015.1)". Lineage: Eukaryota; Metazoa; Chordata; Mammalia; Artiodactyla; Bovidae. The record is from RNAcentral.